Canis lupus familiaris (dog) is the source of this 1961-nucleotide long non-coding RNA. RefSeq lists it as uncharacterized. Lineage: Eukaryota; Metazoa; Chordata; Mammalia; Carnivora; Canidae. The record is from RefSeq and is a predicted model, not a curated record. The transcript is spliced from 2 exons.
GGGGUGGCAGGGCCGGGAGAGGCGCGGGGAGGGCAGCAGGCCGACAGACGGCUUUCGGCAGGCCGGAGGGGAGGGGCUCCUGUCUGGAGCGAAGGCUGCGCCGACUCACCUUGGCGGCGUCUGACAGCUGCACCAGCAGCAGCACCGAGAGCGCCAGGCAGGACAGGCUGAGCAAGGAGCCAAGCCGAAGGAAGCCUCCCCACACGGUCGCCAUCGCUGCCAGGCCCGGCGGUGGCCACAGCCCGGAGCCCCCGCGACCUGGUCCGGGCUGGGGCUCCGGCUCGGGCUCCGGCUCGGGCUCCUCCGCCCGCACUUCCGGCCGGGCCUCGGCGUCACCGGCCGCGCGGGGUCAGCUACGUCACCGUCCGCCCCGGAAACGGUUCCCCGUGCGCAGGCCGCGGAGGCUGCGCGGUGCCGGCGCCCGCCCCGCGAACGCUCGGGCGCGGGAAACCAAGGGGGCGCCCCUGGCGCGGCAGAGCUCCGAGGCGUGAGGCUGUCCUUCCUGGGCGCUGGAGCAGCGGCGGCUGAGGACCUGCAGGGCCCUGGGGAGUCCUCUCGCCCGGGAGACCCCCAGCAACUCCAGCGACCCCUGCGAGCCCGGAGCCGUCCGUCGCCAGGCCCCCGAGGCUGGGGCGAGCCCAAGCGCCCGGGGCGGCUUGCGAGGGCAGGUGGCAGGCGUGGAGGCGGCCACGGGACUGACGGCCGAGCCAUGCCUUCCGGGAGGCCUACCCCCAGCCGGAGGGCCGUCCUCCCCGGCACUUGGCCCCUAACCUGCAGCCCCUGCGCCUCCCGGACGCCGCUCGCGGCAGGGCUUCCAACACGCUGGCUUCGGCUUGGUCUCCCCGCUUGCCUCCCGCUGGGGCCUGACCGCCUAGACCCCAGCCUGCUGCACGAACCGCGCGUCAGCGGCGCGGCUGAGUCGGGCCGGGCUAGGUCUGGCUCCGGAACGUGUGGAAUUGGCCAAAGAACCGCCCUAGUAGCCUCCUCCGCCCGGGACUCCAGUAGUUGGGGAACUGCGGUGCUACGAUCCUAUUAAGGGCGGCUGGCCUCGAAGUCAAGAGUUGGGGGAGCGCUGACCGGCCUUGCAAGUGCGGGUCAUCCUCUGCAGACACAGAGAGGCAGAGACACAGGCAGAGGAAGAAGCAGGCUCCAUGCGGGGAGCCCGACGCGGGACUCGAUCCCGGGUCUUCAGGAUCACGCCCUGGGCUGAAGGCAGCAUUAAACCGCCGAGCCACGGGGGCUGCUCCAUGUCCAACAUGUGGCUAUAUUUCAGGAUCCUGUGAGAUCGAGUCACUGCUCUAGGACUGAACCGGUCAGGUGCCCCUCCCGUGUGAUUAUUGUUGAUGCCAGACUCUAACACAAGGUGUCUGAUACUAUGCCAGAUAUAUUUAGCCCCUUUCAAUCCCAAGUGGCAAGUGGUGCCUAGUCCCAGCCAGAAUCAGAGGGGUAGGGCUAGAUGACCUUUCAUCAAAGCCCCUGCAGGCUGUCCCUGUGGAGGUACUGUCACAUUAGUGAGAUAACAAGUCUUUGUUGUUGGUGUUUUGCUGGCCAAGAACAACUCGGAGGUCAGAAUAGUCUGUGAGGCACUGUAGAUGUGAUUGCUAAAGGCAAGUUUGGGAUCAAUUUAGGGUUCAUUGUCUAGGUCUGAUAUUUAAGGGUGUGCUCCCUCUGGCUAGAACCUCACAGGUCUUUUCUUCUUCAUGAUUGAGAGUACAGAGGCUUAAAGUGAAUAUAUAUUAAUGACUGGUGGGUCUUAUCUGCUUAUUGGAGAAUUAACAAGUGCACUCCUGGAAGCAGCAUUUUAGAGUUAGACUGUCCAGUACAGUAGCCACUAGCCACAUGUGUCAUUGAGCACUUGAAAUGUGGCUAAUCAGAAUUGAGUAAGUGCAAAAUAUACACUGGAUUUCAAAGACUUAGUACAAAAAAAAAAAAAAAAACCUUAGUAUUUUUAUAUUGCUUAA